UACGGUUGUGGAUCGGAGGAAACAUGCAGCUGGGGGUUGAGCCCUCGCCAUCACCACUUUCCUGCCGUUGCCGGCCAAGGCCUAGCAACCCCGGCCAACCAGCUGUUAACCUUUGUGCUGGUCUUCUAGAUUAUGGUGAAGGGAGCUUUGCUGAUGAAUUUGAUAAGAUUGAUAAUCUGGAUGAUGAGGAUGAGGAGGAUCAGCAGAAACCAACAUGAUCAAAGACUUGGAGGAACUUUCCAUGGUGGUUGUUUACUAGAGGCUAGAUCGAUAAUAUAUGUAAAUAUCCAUGUUUUCCCUCUCCAGUCGGUGCUUUUCAAUUACUGAUGUAUAAUAUCUGGAGUGAAUUUGCUCUCUCCUUGUUGCUGUUUUGGACACUCCCUUAAUUUAUCCGCUUGGAACAUGAAUAUGAAAAUUUCACAUGCUUGGUUUCUUCUGA
Molecule: long non-coding RNA, 439 nt
Organism: Eucalyptus grandis
Lineage: Eukaryota; Viridiplantae; Streptophyta; Magnoliopsida; Myrtales; Myrtaceae
Exons: 3
Source: RefSeq, a predicted model, not a curated record